Molecule: long non-coding RNA, 754 nt
Filed under: Homo sapiens (human)
Lineage: Eukaryota; Metazoa; Chordata; Mammalia; Primates; Hominidae
Description: novel transcript
Source: RNAcentral
UCACCCAGUCUUGGUGUAUGUAGACGUUUUCUUAAUAUUUCUUAAUAUUCUAUUUAGGAUGAGCUUAUCAUGGAACAUAAGAAAAAUAAAACAGAUGUCAGCCUGUGUAUGAAGAAUUCAUCCACAAGAUUUGACCGAAGACUGUGAGACUUCCUCCCCACAGUGAGCUAAAAGGACGCUUUUGUCAGAGUGGGGAAAUAAAAGGGCUUUAUGGGAAGGAAGAUAAGAACAGAUGAGUCAGAGGUUUCUGCUUAAUGCUCACUCUUCAAUUCUUUCCCGAGCAAAACCAAGAAUCUUCUUGGGCUAAGCCCCAAUUUGGGGUUCACCUGCCUUGCAGCAACAUGGCACCAAACAUGCGGCAGAAGAGAGAAAACGACAGCAUGAGAGACGGAGAAAGAAAUGGCCAGUUGGCAAGGUGGUAAUGAGAGACAGCAGUUGGCAAGACAGUGAGAGACAGCAAGAGAUGGUGGUACAGCCAAGCAGACAGGCAAGUAAGUGGCCAUACUGCUACUGCCUCAUGUAGGAUCCGGCAGGCUGGUGGGUUAUCAGUCCUCACGUGGGACCCUCCCACCAUGGCAGCUGAGCACAUCCAAGCUGGGGGAUCCUGAAGAGACCUUCACCUGGGUGCCACGUGGAAGAUUGGCCAGCACCAUUUUGACUCCUGUGGAUGGUUCCAGGUAAAGACAAUCCUUGCACAAGGCUUCCAACUCGACCCGCCUACUGACCUGGAGAAUGAAAGUGUCCUGCCUCGGGG